GACGGAGGGGGCAAGCGUUGUCCGGACUCACUGGGCGUAAAGGGCGCGUAGGCGGCUCGGCACGUCCGUUGUGAAAUCGCCCGGCUCAACUGGGCGGGGUCAGCGGAUACGGUCGAGCUUGAGCAAGCUAGGGGGUAAUGGAAUUCCCGGUGUAGUGGUGGAAUGCGUAGAUAUCGGGAGGAACACCAGUGGCGAAGGCGGUUACCUGGGGCUUUGCUGACGCUGAUGCGCGAAAGCGUGGGGAGCGAACGGG
This 253-nucleotide ribosomal RNA is filed under the name uncultured bacterium. Its description in RNAcentral is "partial 16S ribosomal RNA". It matches the Rfam family "Bacterial small subunit ribosomal RNA", at positions 524 to 776 of the family's 1533-position model. The record is from RNAcentral.